RNAcentral lists this unclassified non-coding RNA (263 nucleotides) under uncultured Pseudotomentella. RNAcentral's name for it is "sequence contains ITS2". The record is from RNAcentral. Lineage: Eukaryota; Fungi; Basidiomycota; Agaricomycetes; Thelephorales; Thelephoraceae.
AAUUCUCAACUGUCUUUUAGCAUUUAUUGUUAAGGUGAAGUUGGAGUUGGAGGAUAACUGCUGGCGCAACUUAGGUUGCUUGUUGGCUCCUCUUAAAUGGAUGAGCUUUUCUGAUGGAUCAUAGCUCAGUAAUACUAAUGUGAUAAUUAUCUACAUUAGAUGUGAAAGUUAUGAGUAGAGUAACUUCAAUUGUGGAGAAGCUCCUACAGAAAGGAAGUGUUAUUGGGCCCAAUAAUAAACCCAUAACUAAAAAUAUAAUGACA